Molecule: long non-coding RNA, 403 nt
Filed under: Androctonus crassicauda
Lineage: Eukaryota; Metazoa; Arthropoda; Arachnida; Scorpiones; Buthidae
Source: RNAcentral
UGGAACUCCUGAUUUUAGCAUUAUAUCUAUGGGACAUUAAUUCUUGAUUUACAAGCUCUUACUUAACAAACAGUUUCCUGAUACAAGUUAAUUUGUAAAGAAAGAACUACCUGUAUACUAUUAAGUGAAAUAUGAUAUCCAGUGCCCAUUGGUGGACCUAUGGUCAGAGUUAUGGCCAAGCUAGUUGUUAGGCACAAAAAAUGCAAUAAUAUAGACAGUUAUGCCUUCUAUAAAAUUUUUGCAAAAUACAUUAACAAUGUGUUUAUUCUAUGGAAUGGUAAAAUUCACACUAAGCAUUUUAUCAAAACUCUAAAACCAGGAUCGGCAAGUAAUUUUAGGUGGGGUCUGGAUACUUUUGAAAAUUUUUAUUGAGGUCCAGAAAAAAACUUAUAUUCCUUACUAA